UACGUAGGGUGCGAGCGUUAAUCGGAAUUACUGGGCGUAAAGCGCGCGCAGGCGGAUCCUGUAAGUCUGAAGUGAAAUCUCACUGCUCAACGGUGAGACUGCUCUGGAUACUGCGGAUCUUGAGACCGGUAGAGACUGGUAGAAUUGCAGGUGUAGCGGUGGAAUGCGUAGAGAUUUGCAAGAAUACCCGUGGCGAAGGCGGCCAGUUGGGCCGGUUCUGACGCUGAGGCGCGAAAGCGUGGGGAGCAAACAGG
This 254-nucleotide ribosomal RNA is filed under the name uncultured bacterium. RNAcentral's name for it is "partial 16S ribosomal RNA". It matches the Rfam family "Bacterial small subunit ribosomal RNA", at positions 524 to 776 of the family's 1533-position model. The record is from RNAcentral.